GAUCACUAGAGAGAGUGAAGAAUCGCUUCAGUUCAUUCAAACUGUGCUGUGAAACAAACCAUGAUCUCUUCAUCUUUAGUGUUGCUUCUGGCAGUGAUAUCCUGUAUUGAUUCAUAUGAACUCACUCAGCCUGAGUCUCUGAUUGUCCGUCCUGAUGCCACUCUCACUAUCAACUGUAAAGUCUCUUAUUCAGUUACAAGCUAUGCUACAGCUUGGAUUCGUCAGCCUGCAGGAAAAGCUCUGGAGUGGAUUGGAGUGAUCUGGAGUAAUGGAGGCUUAUACUACAAGGAUUCCCUGAAAAGCAAGUUCAGUAUCACCAGAGACACGUCCAGUAACACAAUAACACUGCAAGGACAGAAUAUGCGAGCUGAAGACACAGCUGUGUAUUAUUGUGCCAAAGAAACACAGUGACAGACACCAAUAGCCUCCCUGUACAAAAACAUCAUCAUCGUAUUACAAAUUAAAAGUGUUUUUGAUGAUUUUCAUCAUUCUGGCUUAUACAGAUGCACAGAAAUUGUUUGAAGCUUAUCAAAAAAUUAUAGACAUUAAUUCAGCUG
Non-coding RNA from Onychostoma macrolepis, 557 nucleotides. Lineage: Eukaryota; Metazoa; Chordata; Actinopteri; Cypriniformes; Cyprinidae. The record is from the annotation of a RefSeq genome assembly.